UACGCAAGGGGCUAGCGUUGUUCGGAAUUACUGGGCGUAAAGCGCACGUAGGCGGCCUUGUAAGUUGGGGGUGAAAUCCCGGAGCUCAACUCCGGAACUGCCUUCAAGACUGCAAAGCUCGAGGACGCGAGAGGUUAGCGGAAUUCCGAGUGUAGAGGUGAAAUUCGUAGAUAUUCGGAAGAACACCAGUGGAGAAGGCGGCUAACUGGCGCGUUUCUGACGCUGAGGUGCGCAAGCGUGGGGAGCAAACAGG
RNAcentral lists this ribosomal RNA (253 nucleotides) under uncultured bacterium. RNAcentral's name for it is "partial 16S ribosomal RNA". It matches the Rfam family "Bacterial small subunit ribosomal RNA", at positions 524 to 776 of the family's 1533-position model. The record is from RNAcentral.